RNAcentral lists this ribosomal RNA (253 nucleotides) under uncultured bacterium. RNAcentral's name for it is "partial 16S ribosomal RNA". It matches the Rfam family "Bacterial small subunit ribosomal RNA", at positions 524 to 776 of the family's 1533-position model. The record is from RNAcentral.
UACGUAGGGUGCGAGCGUUAAUCGGAAUUACUGGGCGUAAAGCGUGCGCAGGCGGUUCGUUAAGUCGGAUGUGAAAGCCCCGGGCUCAACCUGGGAACUGCAUUUGAAACUGGCGGGCUUGAGUAUGGCAGAGGGGGGUGGAAUUCCGCGUGUAGCAGUGAAAUGCGUAGAGAUGCGGAGGAACACCGAUGGCGAAGGCAGCCCCCUGGGCCAACACUGACGCUCAGGCACGAAAGCGUGGGGAGCAAACAGG